UAUUAUUAUUAUUAUUAUUAUGGGAAGAGUUGAAUAUGAUGGCCAUAUAUUGUUGUGUUGCCUGCAAAUUUGUUUGAUGGCCUACAAGGAAUUGUUUCUGCUUUUGUUGGUUGGUUAUUGAAUGGAUUUCCAUGAAAUAGGUAUUCCUCUGUGUGUCACAUGAUUGCUAAAUUGUGUUGGGCAGAAUUAGUUUCUAUCUAACGGCAGUGGCUUGUAGAUCAAGUUGUUAAUAGAUGACUGGAUUAGUAAUUUCUUUACCGCUUAAGUCUUGACAUGCAAACGAGUAGUCAGUUGAUUGCUGAUUUAGUGGCAAAUUAAUGUGUGUCGCUGAUAUGCUGUUGAUUGUGUUUCUGGUGUAUUGUCAUAUCUUAUUGAAUAUUUUUAUUAAUCACAGUUUUGGGGGUUUGGGCAAUAGUGUCAAGUGUGGUUGAGUUAUUUUGAUCUUCUGAUCUGAAUUGCAUCACAACUUGAGUACUUGUAAUUAAUUUUGAAGUCUUACAUGAAUCUGGCUUCUUGAUUGUUUUCAGUGAAUUCUUGUCUGUAUGGCACGAGGAAUAUUUAUGCAUACCAAUUUAUACAAUUUUAGGUAGUAGGAUUGGUGCAGAAAAUUGAAUUAAUAUACGGAACUUGGAUGUUGCUUUCUUCUGUUUAUGAUAACUGAAAGGGGGUUAUAUUUGAUCUUGAGUAACUUUUAUUGGUGUAAUAACUUUUAUAUGAAUGAGAUGUAACUCAUUAAUUCAUAGAGUUUAUUGUUUCACUGUUGUUCUCUCAACUAUGUUCCAUCUUUGUCAGUGUGCAUUAGCACUAAAUAAUGGUUUCUUUCUAAUGUUUGGAGCAGAAAAGGGAGGCCCCACCUGGUGAGAAGCCAGAACCUGUUCGAACCCACCUACGAAAUAUGAUUAUUGUACCUGAGAUGAUUGGAAGCAUC
Molecule: unclassified non-coding RNA, 928 nt
Filed under: Hevea brasiliensis (rubber tree)
Lineage: Eukaryota; Viridiplantae; Streptophyta; Magnoliopsida; Malpighiales; Euphorbiaceae
Source: RNAcentral